UUUCAGAACUUCAUUUCGUUUAACUUACAUAACCUCUAAAAUCUCCCCAAGUCUUAGACCCUAAAACGACGCCAUUUUUAUUAACGUUAAUUAGAGAGGCAAGCCCUUUUUAUUUUUACUUAUUCGGAGAAGAAGUAUAGCCCUCAGUGGGCAGUCCAGCUCCAAACCUCUAUAUAAAUUGCACCAUCUUUCCAGAAAAAAAAGAAGAACAAGGAGGAGCUGGGUAGCUAGGAACAACUAAGAUAUAUGGAUGUGCAUGAUCAGCAGCAGCUCAAGAAGCCAAGGGUUGUCAGAGUGAACUCUGAGGAAUUAUGGGAUUUCUUUAUCACUCAAGCUGCCGAUCAAGGCUGCCCUGUGAUGGUGCAUUUUAAUGCUGCCUGGUGCAUGCCCUCUGUAGCCAUGAAUUCAUUCUUUGAGGAAUUGGCCUUCAACUACCACGAUAGAGUUAAAUGCCAAAUUACCCCCCAAACUUGUAUCA
This is a non-coding RNA of Prunus avium (sweet cherry), 478 nucleotides long. The record is from RefSeq and is a predicted model, not a curated record. NCBI's taxonomy places the organism in Eukaryota, Viridiplantae, Streptophyta, Magnoliopsida, Rosales, Rosaceae.